UACGGAGGGGGCCAGCGUUGUUCGGAAUCAUUGGGCGUAAAGGGCGCGUAGGCGGCCGACCAAGUCGGAGGUGAAAUCCCUGGGCUCAACCCAGGAACUGCGUCCGAUACUGGGAGGCUUGAAUCCGGGAGAGGGAUGUGGAAUUCCAGGUGUAGCGGUGAAAUGCGUAGAUAUCGAGAGGAACACCUGCGGCGAAGGCGGGUUGCUGGGCUGACACUGACGCUGAUGCGCGAAAGCUAGGGGAGCGAACGGG
RNAcentral lists this ribosomal RNA (253 nucleotides) under uncultured bacterium. RNAcentral's name for it is "partial 16S ribosomal RNA". It matches the Rfam family "Bacterial small subunit ribosomal RNA", at positions 524 to 776 of the family's 1533-position model. The record is from RNAcentral.